Molecule: long non-coding RNA, 1309 nt
Organism: Ictalurus punctatus (channel catfish)
Lineage: Eukaryota; Metazoa; Chordata; Actinopteri; Siluriformes; Ictaluridae
Exons: 4
Source: RefSeq, a predicted model, not a curated record
UCUGAGCCGUGUCCAUGUGGGUGAAGUUAGCGGCUUUCCCGGUCACCCACGGGUGCUGCAGGGCCUGCUGCGUCGUCAGCCGCUUCUUUGAGUCCUUGACGAUCAACUUCUUCACCUGCAAACAGGAAGAAACAGACGACCACAUGUCAACUUCGGGCCCGUAGGCACACCCCCGGAGGAUCUCUGGAGCUGGAACAGGCAGAAGCAGAGGUGAGGGUGAGAGAAAGAAGUUGGAUAAAUGAUCAUUUUAUUAGCUAGAUCUGUUUUAAUGUGCUCACUCAGACUUGAUUUUGUUAAUCCGUUAACCUAAUUAACUAGGCUGAAUUGUUUAGAACUGCUUAUCCCACACAGCCUGGAGCUUAUUGAGCUCGGGGCACAAGGUGGGGGACACCCUGGAUGGGGUGCCAACUCUUUUAAGAGCACUAAUGCACACUAUAGACAAUUUGGAAAUGCCAAUCAGCCUACAAUGUGUGUCUUUGGACUGGGGAGGAAACUGGAGUACCUGGAGGAAGCAGGGAGAGCAUGCAGCCUUCGUGCACAGAGGGCGGAGGCGAGAUUUGAACCCCCAACACCCAACGCAUUGCCGAGGUUGCCGUUCUUGAGCGAUCGAUCAAGGGUGAUAAACGUGUCUUUGGCUGUUCGAACGCAUGUCAAGUACGGCUUAGCCCGGGGCUAUGAGACGUACUAUAUUUGGAUGAGAGAGGCGCAGCAGGACUCCGAUCUCUGUUCGUACAAUCUUCUUGUCAACCUGGCGGGAAAAAAAGCACGGAGUUAUUGUUGAAGAUGAGCGAGAGGAUGUGGAUGUGGCUCAGUAGAGAAGUUCAGCAUUUUAACCGUCUUAACUGAAAAUAAAAGACUAUGAAGUCUAAAUGGGUAUUUUACAUGUUUUUUUUAAUCUGGUGGGGGGGGGGGCAUUUAUUUAUUUUUGCUACUGUGUUUGUGGCUCUUCUCUGACUUUAGAAGAAAACAUCACUGCAAAUCGUUACAAAGUUCUUCUGACUGAUCACUACGAUGAAACGUCGCUAUCCCGAUGGGCGUGGUCUUUUCCAGGAUGACUCCGCCCUUAUUCACAGAGAACGGGGGGCUCACUGAAUGGUGUAACGAGGAUGAAAAUGAUAGCGGAUCUGUAUACGUAGUUGAACAACAAUGACCAGCCAUCAUGUCACAGAGAAAAGCGGGGAAGUUCUUGAUGUUCUCCAGUCCUAGAUUGGGAGAAACCUGAUCGACUUCCCAAUCCAAGAAGAAAGAACAAAGAAGAACAGAACAAAACCUUCAUGUUCGACAUCCAGAUUUCUAAAAGCAGACUCAC